This 201-nucleotide non-coding RNA is filed under the name Symbiodinium microadriaticum. RNAcentral describes it as "Eukaryotic large subunit ribosomal RNA". It matches the Rfam family "Eukaryotic large subunit ribosomal RNA", at positions 967 to 1170 of the family's 3401-position model. Lineage: Eukaryota; Dinophyceae; Suessiales; Symbiodiniaceae. The record is from Rfam by way of RNAcentral.
UUUCCCUCAGGAUGGCUAGAGUCUGGCAGCAAUAGUUGAACAGUUUUAUUAGGUAAAGCGAAUGAUUAGAAGAAUCGGGGACGCGCUGUCUUGGACCUAUUCUCAAACUGUAAUUACAUUGAGUAAGAUCCACAAUGGUUAUUUAAUUGAACUUCUGGUGGGAUAAAUGAAAAACUUUAAGUGGCGAUAAGGGAUGAACCU